GUUUGACCUCGGAUCAGGUGG
This 21-nucleotide ribosomal RNA is filed under the name Thyrinula dunnii. Its description in RNAcentral is "partial 28S ribosomal RNA". Lineage: Eukaryota; Fungi; Ascomycota; Dothideomycetes; Asterinales; Asterinaceae. RNAcentral also lists the same sequence under 1 other name. The record is from RNAcentral.